GAGUGUAAGCUGCUAUAUGAAGGGAUCCACAAGACGAAUAAUUAAGGGGGACCUCUGAUCAACAGCCAGCAAGGAACUGAAUCCCUCAGACCCACAACUCACAAGAAACUGAAGCUGAAGCAGAUUCUUCCUCAGUCAAGCUUCAGGUGCCCAGCUGUAUUGGUAGAGGAGACCAACCACACCCUCCACAGCACAGCACCUGGAGAGGAACUGCUGCCAUGACCAUAGAGGACACCCUCUGGAUACAAUGCCAGACUUGAUGUGGGACUGACCAACCUAUGGACCCCAGGCACCACCACCCAGACCUGCUCAGCACCUGAAACAUUCACAGCCGUGGAGAGAGAACUGUUCACUGCUACCAUCCACACUUCUGGGCCCCUUCAGCAGCAGGGUGACAAGGAAGAGGGAAAUCGACUUGGAAAAGAGGGGACCUCUGACCCAAGAGUUCGGUCAAUGCAUAUGUUGGCAGCCAGCUGCACAUCGCACCAAAUAUGAACUUCAAAUAGAAGAAAGCCUCAUUUGGAAGAAAGCUCAUGCACAGACUGUAAAUAUUUCAGAGCAGAUUGUGUCUCUGUAGAUUAACAAACAGUUUAUUUUUCCAGUAUGACAAUGUUGUGACAAGAUCAGAAGCCAGCUUUCUCACCAUUAAAUCAAAGUCUUAUCAAUAUAUGGAGACUUUUAUGGAAAGAAACCUGAAAUUACGCAGAAAUGCCUUCCGCAAGAAGUGGCUAGUAUGGUGGCUUCAAGAACAGUGACAUUUUUCAGUAUGUCCGUUGUUCUAAGACGUUAGUACAUCACAAUUACCUAGAAAACUUGUUAAAACACAGAAGUCUGGGCUCCCCCUCUUGGCCAACCCCCAUUCCCAGAGGGUUUCUGUUUCCAUGGGUCUGAAAUACCACCUAACGAUUGGCAUUUCUAACAAAUUUCUGCAUGAAGCUGCUGGUCUGAGGACCACACUUUGACAACCAGUGCACUACAUUAAGCUAUCUGGAGAAGCUGCAAAUGCAGAUGAAGAAGCUACAAAUUUUUCUAUGUCAACAAAAAUUGACUGAUGAGGGUGACCUUCGGAUCAUGUUUUUAAUGUUUAUGAAACUGGUCUCAUUAUCAGAAGUAAAUGGCUUCAAGAACUUCAGCCUGAGGAAGAAAACAUGAGUCCUAGGCAUAUCAGGCUACAACCAUGUUUGGAAUGAAUCUAGGUGCAAAUCUCAGUGGAGAAUUAACUGUACCAAUAUUUUAAUUAGGAUUACUAAUGUUUUGUUACUUCCUGAUUACAAGGUUCUAUAGGUUUUGAAUGAUCCACUGUAAUCCUGUUUCUUUUCCAUAAGUCGUGUAGUUUUUAGCAUGUAAUUAUGCAGACCAUAAGGUUUUUCAGGAAUACUAAUAUGGCAUUAGAUUAGAAAUGCUAUAUUAAAAAUUCUUAUUAAAUCUACUGAUAGUAACCAAAAAAUAGAAGAUUCAGAAGAACUAGCAAAUGUGGAGAGAACGGAUGAAAUGGAAGCAGUGUGAACCUAGUGAAUACUUGCCAAGCUGUAUCUCCCCUGAAUUUGUCAAAACAUCAUCUCCAGCAUCUGAGCUAGACCAACCCUCAGUGCUAACAUUGAUGUGAUUAAAGAGUCUGAACUGGGAGCAGAAUUCCUUCAGGUAUUUUGUUAAUAAAAUAAAGCUCUCCAUCUCUCCUUAAAUUAAACAA
RNAcentral lists this long non-coding RNA (1690 nucleotides) under Homo sapiens (human). RNAcentral describes it as "MIR3976 host gene (MIR3976HG)". Lineage: Eukaryota; Metazoa; Chordata; Mammalia; Primates; Hominidae. The record is from RNAcentral.